Molecule: transfer RNA, 77 nt
Filed under: Candidatus Omnitrophota bacterium
Lineage: Bacteria; Pseudomonadati; Candidatus Omnitrophota
Description: Candidatus Omnitrophica bacterium tRNA-Pro
Rfam family: tRNA
About the family: Transfer RNA (tRNA) molecules are approximately 80 nucleotides in length. Their secondary structure includes four short double-helical elements and three loops (D, anti-codon, and T loops).
Source: RNAcentral
CGGGGCGUAGCGCAGUCUGGCAGCGCGCCACGUUCGGGACGUGGAGGUCCUGGGUUCAAAUCCCAGCGCCCCGACCA